This is a long non-coding RNA of Notolabrus celidotus (New Zealand spotty), 530 nucleotides long. RefSeq lists it as uncharacterized. NCBI's taxonomy places the organism in Eukaryota, Metazoa, Chordata, Actinopteri, Labriformes, Labridae. The record is from RefSeq and is a predicted model, not a curated record. The transcript has 3 exons.
GGUCCACUGCGGUCAUGAAGGGAUGGACAUGGUCAGCGACAAUACUCAGAGGAUCCGCAGACAGCCAACCCGCUCCAGUCACCUCUGCAGUCAGUCGGAGGCGUUGCUGUGAUGUGCUCGGCUGCUCCGACUCAAAGGAUUAUUGAACAGUUUGAUGCCAGGACAAGGACCGCGAGAGGAAUGACAGUCCGUUGCAGACGUGUCUGUGCAGGAAGACCAAGACACAGCUGCAGAGCUUCCUGCUGUCUCGCCAAGGUACACAACUGUCAUCAUAGUUCACCAUGUGGAUGAUGUGCAGCCGUCACACUGUUCGUGUGAUUUACAAUCGCUCCUGGUGUGAUGUCCCGGUCAAACUCUGGAUCCAUCUGAGAAGCAGAUUAGAACAACAUCACUUGCAGUAAUCAUAAAACCUCAACACAUGAGACUCUAAACACUUAUACUGUUUACUGACUGAAUGUAUGCUGGAUUUUUGUCUGAAUAAAAAAGGACAACAUUAAUAAAAAUAACUACCUGUGUGAGAUCCUGCAUGC